Molecule: transfer RNA, 66 nt
Filed under: Diadophis punctatus punctatus
Lineage: Eukaryota; Metazoa; Chordata; Lepidosauria; Squamata; Dipsadidae
Description: tRNA-His
Source: RNAcentral
GUGUGCGUAGUUUAAAAUUAAAAUGUCAAGCUGUGACCCUGAUAAUAGGAAUUAUUCCUCACACAC